UACAGAGGUCCCAAGCGUUGUUCGGAUUCACUGGGCGUAAAGGGUGCGUAGGCGGUCGGGUAAGUCUGAUGUGAAAUCUCCGGGCUCGAACCCGGAAAUGGCAUUGGAUACUAUUCGGCUCGAGGUCUGGAGGGGGGACUGGAAUACUUGGUGUAGCAGUGAAAUGCGUAGAUAAUCAAGUGGAACACCAGUGGCGAAGGCGAGUCCCUG
RNAcentral lists this ribosomal RNA (210 nucleotides) under uncultured bacterium. Its description in RNAcentral is "partial 16S ribosomal RNA". It matches the Rfam family "Bacterial small subunit ribosomal RNA", at positions 524 to 731 of the family's 1533-position model. The record is from RNAcentral.